AACUCGCAUUGCAGGAGCCGAAACUACAUACAUGGGUCAAGGAGCUUCCCAUCCCCCCAAAAUGAGCGCCAAGAUGAGCUUCUGAAGCAGUAUCCUCUCCCUGUGAAAGCUAUUCUUCGUCCAAACACGAAUCCAGAUGGGUCUGACAUUCCGUGGAUGCCUGGUUCUGAUUUCGAUUUUCCUGAUCCUAAGUGUGGCUCCUUGAUUAGGGAGCUCUAUGAGGCAAUGAGCAACCAGGAGAAGGACCAAAUCACUUGGUAUCGGCAUUUGGUAUGGAAAUCUUGCGGUAUUAAGGUCGACCUCUCGGCUUCUCUUCCAACUAAAUCAUGAAGCUCCAUUGAUGUAUGUAUUGCAUUAGUUUGAGAUAAUUAAUGAUCCAUCCAUAUGUAACUCGAUCUCUUUUCAUAUCAUUAUCCAUGUUGUAUGUUCCCUACUCCCUACCUCUCAAUUUUAUUUCAUUUUGCAAUUGUUUAGAUCAAACAUAGCAUACAAUAGUCAAUUGGAACACAAAUAUCAAACCAUUGUUUUAAACAUC
RNA transcript from Fragaria vesca subsp. vesca, 535 nucleotides. RefSeq lists it as uncharacterized. The transcript has 3 exons. Lineage: Eukaryota; Viridiplantae; Streptophyta; Magnoliopsida; Rosales; Rosaceae. The record is from RefSeq and is a predicted model, not a curated record.